CCUACGGGAGGCAGCAGUGGGGAAUAUUGCACAAUGGAGGGAACUCUGAUGCAGCGACGCCGCGUGAGUGAAGUAGUAAUUCGUUAUGUAAAGCUCUAUCAGCAGGGAAGAAAGUGACGGUACCUGAAUAAGAAGCACCGGCUAAAUACGUGCCCGCAGCCGCGGUAAUACGUAAGGAGCAAGCGUUAUCCGGAUUUACUGGGUGUAAAGGGAGAGUAGGUGGCAGGACAAGUCCGAAGUGAAAACCCGAAGCAUAACUAUGGGAAUGCUUUAGAAACUGCGCAGCUAGAGUGCAGGAGAGGACAGGGGAAUACUUAGUGUAGCGGUGAAAUGCGUAGAUAUUAGGAGGAACACCAGUGGCGAAGGCGGCUUGCUGGACUGUAAAUGACACUGAGGCUCGAAAGCGUGGGGAGCAAACAGGAUUAGAUACCCGUGUAGUC
Molecule: ribosomal RNA, 440 nt
Filed under: uncultured bacterium
Lineage: Bacteria
Description: partial 16S ribosomal RNA
Rfam family: Bacterial small subunit ribosomal RNA
Source: RNAcentral